UACGUAUGGAGCAAGCGUUAUCCGGAUUUACUGGGUGUAAAGGGAGCGUAGGCGGCAUACCAAGCCUGAUGUGAAAACCCGGGGCCCAACCCCGGGAGUGCAUUGGGAACUGGCAAGCUAGAGUGUCGGAGAGGCAGGCGGAAUUCCUAGUGUAGCGGUGAAAUGCGUAGAUAUUAGGAGGAACACCAGUGGCGAAGGCGGCCUGCUGGACGAUGACUGACGCUGAGGCUCGAAAGCGUGGGGAGUAAACAGG
RNAcentral lists this ribosomal RNA (253 nucleotides) under uncultured bacterium. RNAcentral describes it as "partial 16S ribosomal RNA". It matches the Rfam family "Bacterial small subunit ribosomal RNA", at positions 524 to 776 of the family's 1533-position model. The record is from RNAcentral.